GGACCAUUAAACUCUUGUUAUUUUAUGUAAUCUGAGCGUCUUAUUUUAAUAAGUCAAAACUUUCAACAACGGAUCUCUUGGUUCUGGCAUCGAUGAAGAACGCAGCGAAAUGCGAUAAGUAAUGUGAAUUGCAGAAUUCAGUGAAUCAUCGAAUCUUUGAACGCACAUUGCGCCCAUUAGUAUUCUAGUGGGCAUGCCUGUUCGAGCGUCAUUUCAACCCUUAAGCCUAGCUUAGUGUUGGGAAUCUACUUCUCUUAGGAGUUGUAGUUCCUGAAAUACAACGGCGGAUUUGUAGUAUCCUCUGAGCGUAGUAAUUUUUUUCUCGCUUUUGUUAGGUGCUAUAACUCCCAGCCGCUAAACCCCCAAUUUUUUGUGGUUGACCUCGGAUCAGGUAGGAAUACCCGCUGAACUUAAGCAUAUCAAUAAGCGGAGGAA
RNAcentral lists this ribosomal RNA (435 nucleotides) under Pestalotiopsis sp. TM1H26. Its description in RNAcentral is "eukaryotic LSU rRNA". The stretch from base 58 to 211 matches the Rfam family "5.8S ribosomal RNA". Lineage: Eukaryota; Fungi; Ascomycota; Sordariomycetes; Amphisphaeriales; Sporocadaceae. The record is from RNAcentral.